UGAGGAAUAUUGGUCAAUGGGCGGAAGCCUGAACCAGCCAAGUAGCGUGAGGGAUGACUGCCCUAUGGGUUGUAAACCUCUUUUAUAAGGGAAUAAAAUACGGGACGUGUCCUGUUUUGCAUGUACCUUAUGAAUAAGGACCGGCUAAUUCCGUGCCAGCAGCCGCGGUAAUACGGAAGGUCCGGGCGUUAUCCGGAUUUAUUGGGUUUAAAGGGAGCGCAGGCGGUCUUAUAAGCGUGGCGUGAAAUGCAGCGGCUCAACCGUAUGAUGUGCGUCGCGAACUGUGAGACUUGAGUGUAUUCGAUGUCAGCGGAAUUUGUGGUGUAGCGGUGAAAUGCUUAGAUAUUAGGAGGAACACCAGUGGCGAAGGCGGCUUGCUGGGCCUUUACUGACGCUGAGGCUCGAAAGCGUGGGGA
RNAcentral lists this ribosomal RNA (416 nucleotides) under uncultured Prevotella sp. Its description in RNAcentral is "bacterial SSU rRNA". It matches the Rfam family "Bacterial small subunit ribosomal RNA", at positions 355 to 767 of the family's 1533-position model. Lineage: Bacteria; Pseudomonadati; Bacteroidota; Bacteroidia; Bacteroidales; Prevotellaceae. The record is from RNAcentral.